AAAUUGAAGAGUUUGAUCAUGGCUCAGAUUGAACGCUGGCGGCAGGCCUAACACAUGCAAGUCGAACGGUAACAGGAAGCAGCUUGCUGCUUCGCUGACGAGUGGCGGACGGGUGAGUAAUGUCUGGGAAACUGCCUGAUGGAGGGGGAUAACUACUGGAAACGGUGGCUAAUACCGCAUAACGUCGCAAGACCAAAGAGGGGGACCUUCGGGCCUCUUGCCAUCAGAUGUGCCCAGAUGGGAUUAGCUAGUUGGUGAGGUAACGGCUCACCAAGGCGACGAUCCCUAGCUGGUCUGAGAGGAUGACCAGCCACACUGGAACUGAGACACGGUCCAGACUCCUACGGGAGGCAGCAGUGGGGAAUAUUGCACAAUGGGCGCAAGCCUGAUGCAGCCAUGCCGCGUGUAUGAAGAAGGCCUUCGGGUUGUAAAGUACUUUCAGCGGGGAGGAAGGUGUUGUGGUUAAUAACCGCAGCAAUUGACGUUACCCGCAGAAGAAGCACCGGCUAACUCCGUGCCAGCAGCCGCGGUAAUACGGAGGGUGCAAGCGUUAAUCGGAAUUACUGGGCGUAAAGCGCACGCAGGCGGUCUGUCAAGUCGGAUGUGAAAUCCCCGGGCUCAACCUGGGAACUGCAUUCGAAACUGGCAGGCUUGAGUCUUGUAGAGGGGGGUAGAAUUCCAGGUGUAGCGGUGAAAUGCGUAGAGAUCUGGAGGAAUACCGGUGGCGAAGGCGGCCCCCUGGACAAAGACUGACGCUCAGGUGCGAAAGCGUGGGGAGCAAACAGGAUUAGAUACCCUGGUAGUCCACGCCGUAAACGAUGUCUACUUGGAGGUUGUGCCCUUGAGGCGUGGCUUCCGGAGCUAACGCGUUAAGUAGACCGCCUGGGGAGUACGGCCGCAAGGUUAAAACUCAAAUGAAUUGACGGGGGCCCGCACAAGCGGUGGAGCAUGUGGUUUAAUUCGAUGCAACGCGAAGAACCUUACCUGGUCUUGACAUCCACGGAAAUUUUCAGAGAUGAGAAUGUGCCUUCGGGAACCGUGAGAC
RNAcentral lists this ribosomal RNA (1045 nucleotides) under Salmonella enterica subsp. enterica serovar Muenchen. Its description in RNAcentral is "bacterial SSU rRNA". It matches the Rfam family "Bacterial small subunit ribosomal RNA", at positions 1 to 1035 of the family's 1533-position model. Lineage: Bacteria; Pseudomonadati; Pseudomonadota; Gammaproteobacteria; Enterobacterales; Enterobacteriaceae. The record is from RNAcentral.